ACACGACUACAUUAGAUACCCGUGUAGUCCCAGCCCUAAACGAUGCGCGUUAGGUGUAUCGGUGACCACGAGUCACCGAGGUGCCGAAAGGGAACCGUGAAACGUGCCGCCUGGGAAGUACGGUCGCAAGGCUGAAACUUAAAGGAAUUGGCGGGGAGCACCACAACGGGUGGAGUCUGCGGUUUAAUUGGACUCAACGCCGGGAAGCUCACCGGAUAAGGCAGCGGAAUGAUUGCCGGGCUGAAGACCCUGCAUGACCAGCUG
Molecule: ribosomal RNA, 264 nt
Filed under: uncultured archaeon
Lineage: Archaea
Description: partial 16S ribosomal RNA
Rfam family: Archaeal small subunit ribosomal RNA
Source: RNAcentral